AUGAACGCUGGCGGCGUGCCUAAUACAUGCAAGUCGAGCGAACGGACGAGAAGCUUGCUUCUCUGAUGUUAGCGGCGGACGGGUGAGUAACACGUGGAUAACCUACCUAUAAGCCUGGGAUAACUUCGGGAAACCGGAGCUAAUACCGGAUAAUAUUUUGAACCGCAUGGUUCAAAAGUGAAAGACGGUCUUGCUGUCACUUAUAGAUGGAUCCGCGCUGCAUUAGCUAGUUGGUAAGGUAACGGCUUACCAAGGCAACGAUGCAUAGCCGACCUGAGAGGGUGAUCGGCCACACUGGAACUGAGACACGGUCCAGACUCCUACGGGGGGCAGCAGUAGGGAAUCUUCCGCAAUGGGCGAAAGCCUGACGGAGCAACGCCGCGUGAGUGAUGAAGGUCUUCGGAUCGUAAAACUCUGUUAUUAGGGAAGAACAUAUGUGUAAGUAACUGUGCACAUCUUGACGGUACCUAAUCAGAAAGCCACGGCUAACUACGUG
Molecule: ribosomal RNA, 496 nt
Filed under: uncultured bacterium
Lineage: Bacteria
Description: partial 16S ribosomal RNA
Rfam family: Bacterial small subunit ribosomal RNA
Source: RNAcentral